AGAGAACCUGAAACCCUGUGUUUACAAACUGUGGAAGUACCAUACGAGUACAACCGCGUACUUUUUGUAGAACGGUCCGGCGAGUUACGUUUACUGGCGAGGUUAAGCACUUAAGGUGCGGAGCCGAAGGGAUACCAAGUCUUAACAGGGCGUAAAGUCAGUGUACGUAGACCCGAAACCGGGUGAUCUACCCAUGUCCAGGCUGAAGUUGCCGUAAAAGGCAAUGGAGGGCCGAACGCACAUCCGUUGAAAAGGGUGGCGAUGAGGUGUGGGUAGGGGAGAAAUUCCAAUCGAACCCGGAGAUAGCUGGUUCUCCUCGAAAUAGCUUUAGGGCUAGCCUCGUGUUAACCUUGUGGAGGUAGAGCACUGAAUAUCCUAGGGGGCGUCAAAGUCUACCGAAGAUUAUCAAACUCCGAAUGCCAUAAAGGUGAUGCACGGGAGUCAGACUGCACGAGAUAAGUUGGGUGGUCAAAAGGGAAAGAGCCCAGACCUACAGCUAAGGUCCCAAAGUGCGUGUUAAGUGGAAAAGGAUGUGGGAUUUCGAAGACAACUAGGAUGUUGGCUCAGAAGCAGCCAUACAUUCAAAGAGUGCGUAAUAGCUCACUAGUCGAGAGGUCCUGCGCCGAAAAUGUCCGGGGCUAAAACACGACACCGAAGCUUAGGACUCCAUUUAGGAGUGGUAGAGGAGCAUUGUUAGCGCAGCGAAGCUGUACCGAUAAGGAGCAGUGGAGUGCUAAGAAGAGAGAAUGCCGGAAUGAGUAGCGAGAGGAAGGUGAGAAUCCUUCCGGCCGAAUAUCCAAGGUUUCCAGAGUAAAGCUGAUCUGCUCUGGGUAAGUCGGGGCCUAAGGCGAGGUCGAAAGACGUAGUCGAUGGAUAACAGGUGGAGAUUCCUGUACUAUGUGUACCCAGAACUGUGGGGACGCAUGUGGAGAGCACGAGCCGGGAAAGAGAAAACCGGUACAAGCGGGGUAGGAGUAAGGACAGCAAAUCUUCCUUACAAUCCGAAGACGUAAUGUGGACCGAACCAAAGUAGGGAAGCGUGUGAGCCAUGUGCCAAGAAAAGCCGCUAUUGUGAUACACAUACCCGUACCGUAAACCGACACAGGUGGAUGAGGAGAGAAUCCUAAGGCCGACGGAAGAAGCAUUGUUAAGGAACUCGGCAAAAUGACCCCGUAACUUCGGGAGAAGGGGUGCCCUGUGAAAGCAGGGCCGCAGAGAAUAGGCUCAAGCAACUGUUUAGCAAAAACACAGGUCUAUGCGAAACCGAAAGGUGAGGUAUAUGGGCUGACGCCUGCCCGGUGCUGGAAGGUUAAGAGGAGAAGUCAGGCAACGAAGCUUCGAAUUUAAGCCCCAGUAAACGGCGGCCGUAACUAUAACGGUCCUAAGGUAGCGAAAUUCCUUGUCGGGUAAGUUCCGACCCGC
Molecule: ribosomal RNA, 1422 nt
Filed under: human gut metagenome
Description: bacterial LSU rRNA
Rfam family: Bacterial large subunit ribosomal RNA
Source: RNAcentral